AUUGAACGCUGGCGGAAUGCUUUACACAUGCAAGUCGAGCGGCAGCGCGGGGGCAACCCUGGCGGCGAGCGGCGAACGGGUGAGUAACAUAUCGGAACGUACCCUGUCGUGGGGGAUAACUAUCCGAAAGGAUAGCUAAUACCGCAUACGACCUGAGGGUGAAAGCGGGGGACCGCAAGGCCUCGCGCGAUAGGAGCGGCCGAUAUCGGAUUAGCUAGUUGGUGAGGUAAAGGCUCACCAAGGCGACGAUCCGUAGCGGGUCUGAGAGGACGACCCGCCACACUGGAACUGAGACACGGUCCAGACUCCUACGGGAGGCAGCAGUGGGGAAUUUUGGACAAUGGGGGCAACCCUGAUCCAGCCAUGCCGCGUGGACGAUGAAGGCCUUAGGGUUGUAAAGUCCUUUCAGAUGGGAAGAUAAUGACGGUACCAUCAGAAGAAGCCCCGGCUAACUCCGUG
RNAcentral lists this ribosomal RNA (459 nucleotides) under uncultured bacterium. RNAcentral describes it as "bacterial SSU rRNA". It matches the Rfam family "Bacterial small subunit ribosomal RNA", at positions 29 to 507 of the family's 1533-position model. The record is from RNAcentral.